RNAcentral lists this ribosomal RNA (600 nucleotides) under uncultured bacterium. RNAcentral describes it as "bacterial SSU rRNA". It matches the Rfam family "Bacterial small subunit ribosomal RNA", at positions 726 to 1330 of the family's 1533-position model. The record is from RNAcentral.
CAACAAGGCCUUUACUGACGCUAAAGCUCGAAGGUGCGGGUAUCGAACAGGAUUAGAUACCCUGGUAGUCCGCACGGUAAACGAUGGAUGCCCGCUGUUUGCGAUAUACUGUGAGCGGCCAAGAGAAAUCGUUAAGCAUCCCACCUGGGGAGUACGCCGGCAACGGUGAAACUCAAAGGAAUUGACGGGGGCCCGCACAAGCGGAGGAACAUGUGGUUUAAUUCGAUGAUACGCGAGGAACCUUACCCGGGCUUGAACUGCAGGAGAACGAUACAGAGAUGUUGAGGUCCUUCGGGACUCCUGUGGAGGUGCUGCAUGGUUGUCGUCAGCUCGUGCCGUGAGGUGUCGGCUUAAGUGCCAUAACGAGCGCAACCCUUUUCGUCAGUUGCCAUCAGGUGAUGCUGGGCACUCUGGCGAUACUGCCACCGUAAGGUGUGAGGAAGGUGGGGAUGACGUCAAAUCAGCACGGCCCUUACGUCCGGGGCUACACACGUGUUACAAUGGGGAGUACAGAGAGUCAACCGCCGGCAACGUCGGUUUAAUCAAGAGAGCUCUCCUCAGUUCGGAUUGGGGUCUGCAACCCGACCCCAUGAAGCUGGA